This 477-nucleotide ribosomal RNA is filed under the name uncultured bacterium. RNAcentral's name for it is "bacterial SSU rRNA". It matches the Rfam family "Bacterial small subunit ribosomal RNA", at positions 30 to 504 of the family's 1533-position model. The record is from RNAcentral.
UGAACGCUAGCGGGAGGCUUAACACAUGCAAGUCGAGGGGCAGCAUUUACUUCGGUAAGAUGGCGACCGGCGAACGGGUGCGUAACGCGUAUGCAACCUACCUUAUACAAAAGGAUAGCCCAUGGAAACGUGGAUUAAUACUUUAUAGUACUAUAAAACUGCAUAGUUUAAUAGUUAAAAUUUCGGUGGUAUAAGAUGGGCAUGCGUAGGAUUAGGUAGUUGGUGAGGUAACAGCUCACCAAGCCGACGAUCCUUAGGGGUUCUGAGAGGAUUAUCCCCCACACUGGUACUGAGACACGGACCAGACUCCUACGGGAGGCAGCAGUGAGGAAUAUUGGUCAAUGGACGAGAGUCUGAACCAGCCAUCCCGCGUGCAGGAUGACGGCCCUAUGGGUUGUAAACUGCUUUUCUACGCCAAGAAACCCACCUACGUGUAGGUGGUUGACGGUAGCGUAGGAAUAAGCAUCGGCUAACUCC